This 22-nucleotide microRNA is filed under the name Gyrodactylus salaris (gyrodactylosis fluke). Its description in RNAcentral is "gsa-miR-8-3p". Its record names the gene gsa-miR-8-3p. The record is from miRBase by way of RNAcentral. Lineage: Eukaryota; Metazoa; Platyhelminthes; Monogenea; Gyrodactylidea; Gyrodactylidae.
UAAUACUGUUAUUUAAGAUUUC